AACGUAGGAGACAAACGUUAUCCGGAAUUACUGGGCGUAAAGCGCACGUAGGCGGAUUGUUAAGUUAGGGGUGAAAUCCCAGGGCUCAACCCUGGAACUGCCUUUAAUACUGGCAAUCUCGAGUCCGAGAGAGGUGAGUGGAAUUCCGAGUGUAGAGGUGAAAUUCGUAGAUAUUCGGAGGAACACCAGUGGCGAAGGCGGCUCACUGGCUCGGUACUGACGCUGAGGUGCGAAAGCGUGGGGAGCAAACAGG
Molecule: ribosomal RNA, 253 nt
Filed under: uncultured bacterium
Lineage: Bacteria
Description: partial 16S ribosomal RNA
Rfam family: Bacterial small subunit ribosomal RNA
Source: RNAcentral